UCAGGAUGAACGCUAGCGGCAGGCUUAACACAUGCAAGUCGAGGGGUAGCAGGGAGCUUGCUCCGCUGACGACCGGCGAACGGGUGCGUAACGCGUAUAGAAUCUACCUCUUACUAAGGGAUAGCCCAGAGAAAUUUGGAUUAAUAUCUUAUAGUAUGUUAACUUGGCAUCAAGAUGACAUUAAAGGUUACGGUAAGAGAUGACUAUGCGUCCUAUUAGCUAGAUGGUGUGGUAACGGCACACCAUGGCAACGAUAGGUAGGGGCCCUGAGAGGGGGAUCCCCCACACUGGUACUGAGACACGGACCAGACUCCUACGGGAGGCAGCAGUGAGGAAUAUUGGACAGAUGGAGGCAACUCUGAUCCAGCCAUGCCGCGUGCAGGAAGACUGCCCUAUGGGUUGUAAACUGCUUUUAUACAGGAAGAAACACUCUCACGUGUGAGAGCUUGACGGUACUGUAAGAAUAAGGAUCGGCUAACUCCGUGCCAGCAGCCGCGGUAAUACGGAGGAUCCAAGCGUUAUCCGGAAUCAUUGGGUUUAAAGGGUCCGUAGGUGGAUAAUUAAGUCAGAGGUGAAAUCCUGCAGCUCAACUGUAGAAUUGCCUUUGAUACUGGUUGUCUUGAGUUAUUAUGAAGUAGUUAGAAUAUGUAGUGUAGCGGUGAAAUGCAUAGAUAUUACAUAGAAUACCAAUUGCGAAGGCAGAUUACUAAUAAUAUACUGACACUGAUGGACGAAAGCGUGGGGAGCGAACAGGAUUAGAUACCCUGGUAGUCCACGCCGUAAACGAUGGUCACUAGCUGUUCGAACUUCGGUUUGAGUGGCUAAGCGAAAGUGAUAAGUGACCCACCUGGGGAGUACGUUCGCAAGAAUGAAACUCAGAGGAAUUGACGGGGGCCCGCACAAGCGGUGGAGCAUGUGGUUUAAUUCGAUGAUACGCGAGGAACCUUACCAGGGCUUAAAUGUAAAUUGACAGGUUUAGAAAUAGACUUUUCUUCGGACAAUUUACAAGGUGCUGCAUGGUUGUCGUCAGCUCGUGCCGUGAGGUGUCAGGUUAAGUCCUAUAACGAGCGCAACCCCUGUUGUUAGUUGCCAGCGAGUCAUGUCGGGAACUCUAACAAGACUGCCAGUGCAAACUGUUAAGAAAGGUGGGGAUGACGUCAAAUCAUCCCGGCCCUUACGUCCUGGGCUAACUCCCGUGCUACAAUGGUAGGGAACAAGAGACAGCCCCUGGGUGACCCGGAGCGAAUCCUUUAACCCUUUCAAAUUCGGA
This 1270-nucleotide ribosomal RNA is filed under the name Olleya algicola. Its description in RNAcentral is "bacterial SSU rRNA". It matches the Rfam family "Bacterial small subunit ribosomal RNA", at positions 24 to 1297 of the family's 1533-position model. Lineage: Bacteria; Pseudomonadati; Bacteroidota; Flavobacteriia; Flavobacteriales; Flavobacteriaceae. The record is from RNAcentral.